This 468-nucleotide ribosomal RNA is filed under the name uncultured bacterium. RNAcentral's name for it is "partial 16S ribosomal RNA". It matches the Rfam family "Bacterial small subunit ribosomal RNA", at positions 28 to 507 of the family's 1533-position model. The record is from RNAcentral.
GACGAACGCUGGCGGCGUGCUUAACACAUGCAAGUCGAACGGAAAGGCCCUGCUUUUGUGGGGUGCUCGAGUGGCGAACGGGUGAGUAACACGUGAGUAACCUGCCCUUGACUUUGGGAUAACUUCAGGAAACUGGGGCUAAUACCGGAUAGGAGCUCCUGCUGCAUGGUGGGGGUUGGAAAGUUUCGGCGGUUGGGGAUGGACUCGCGGCUUAUCAGCUUGUUGGUGGGGUAGUGGCUUACCAAGGCUUUGACGGGUAGCCGGCCUGAGAGGGUGACCGGCCACAUUGGGACUGAGAUACGGCCCAGACUCCUACGGGAGGCAGCAGUGGGGAAUAUUGCACAGUGGGCGGAAGCCAGAUGCAGCAACGCCGCGUGCGGGAUGACGGCCUUCGGGUUGUAAACCGCUUUCGCCUGUGACGAAGCGUGAGUGACGGUAAUGGGUAAAGAAGCACCGGCUAACUACGUG